Molecule: ribosomal RNA, 406 nt
Filed under: uncultured bacterium
Lineage: Bacteria
Description: partial 16S ribosomal RNA
Rfam family: Bacterial small subunit ribosomal RNA
Source: RNAcentral
AUUGAACGCUGGCGGCAGGCCUAACACAUGCAAGUCGAACGAGUGGCUGCCGGGUGAGUAAUGUCUUGGAAACAGCCUGAUGGAGGGGGAUAACUACUGGAAACGGCAGCUAAUACCGCAUAGCAUCGGAGGUGCCCAGAUGGGCUUAGCUAGUAGGUGGUGUAAAGGCUCACCAAGGCGACGAUCCCUAGCUGGUCUGCGAGGAGAGCCAGCCACACUGGAACGGGGACACGGUCCAGAGUCCUACGUGAGGCAGCAGUGGGGAAUAUUGCACGAUGGGCGCAAGGCGGAUGCAGCCAUGCGGCGUGUAUGAAGAAGGCCUUCGGUUUAUAAAGUACUUUCAGCGGGGAGGCGUUACCCGGGGAAGAAGCACCGGGUAAGUCCGUGCCAGCCGCCGCGGUAAUAC